GCGCCAGUGGUCUAGUGGUAUGACGUGGCCUUGCCAAGGCUGCAGACCGGGUUCGAUUCCCGGCUGGCGCA
RNAcentral lists this transfer RNA (71 nucleotides) under Candidatus Woesearchaeota archaeon. RNAcentral describes it as "tRNA-Gly". It matches the Rfam family "tRNA". From Rfam's summary of the family: Transfer RNA (tRNA) molecules are approximately 80 nucleotides in length. Their secondary structure includes four short double-helical elements and three loops (D, anti-codon, and T loops). Lineage: Archaea; Nanobdellati; Candidatus Woesearchaeota. The record is from RNAcentral.